RNAcentral lists this microRNA (25 nucleotides) under Macaca fascicularis (crab-eating macaque). RNAcentral's name for it is "microRNA miR-378c-5p". Lineage: Eukaryota; Metazoa; Chordata; Mammalia; Primates; Cercopithecidae. The record is from RNAcentral.
ACUGGAUUUGGAGUCGGAAGAGUGG